AAAACGAGGGGGGGCAGGGUUAAAAAAACUUUUUUAUCAGCCAGAGGUUAAUGCAAGUGUUUAACAGAUGCUUCACUAUUAAAAUAUUUCCCCCCCAAGUCUCAAAUAUUGAAGAAUCUUAAACCAGGGACACCAGCCCCAGCGAAGACAGACCUUGGGCGAUUUCAAAGCGCAGGCACCUCGAUUCCCCGAAUUUGUUGUGUGGCCGGUAUCGGUGUUCCCCUGGUUUAACUAGCCUGUCUGAAGGCGCAGAUCAUUCUUGGGGAAGUACCACCGAAACCAGUUCUCCCUGCCCCUCGGGGUCUCCAUUUUCCCAGUCUACCUCUGCCUGUGACUCCAGAAAGACAAACUUCUGAUUGGCCAAGCGACCAAAGCUAGUAGCGGAGGCGGACGUCAUCCCUCAGGGCACAGACCUUCAUUCCAAACCCCUCGGGAGAAGCAGGGAAGGCUCCUCAGCUGGACCGUGCGUCCCAGGGCUCCU
This is a long non-coding RNA of Hippopotamus amphibius kiboko, 481 nucleotides long. RefSeq lists it as uncharacterized. The transcript is spliced from 4 exons. Lineage: Eukaryota; Metazoa; Chordata; Mammalia; Artiodactyla; Hippopotamidae. The record is from RefSeq and is a predicted model, not a curated record.